AUUGAACGCUAGCGGGAUGCCUUACACAUGCAAGUCGAACGGCAGCACGGACUUCGGUCUGGUGGCGAGUGGCGAACGGGUGAGUAAUGUAUCGGAACGUGCCUAGUAGCGGGGGAUAACUACGCGAAAGCGUAGCUAAUACCGCAUACGCCCUACGGGGGAAAGCAGGGGAUCGCAAGACCUUGCACUAUUAGAGCGGCCGAUAUCGGAUUAGCUAGUUGGUGGGAUAACGGCUCACCAAGGCGACGAUCCGUAGCUGGUUUGAGAGGACGACCAGCCACACUGGGACUGAGACACGGCCCAGACACCUACGGGUGGCAG
RNAcentral lists this ribosomal RNA (321 nucleotides) under uncultured Pseudomonadota bacterium. RNAcentral describes it as "bacterial SSU rRNA". It matches the Rfam family "Bacterial small subunit ribosomal RNA", at positions 30 to 351 of the family's 1533-position model. Lineage: Bacteria; Pseudomonadati; Pseudomonadota. The record is from RNAcentral.